Columba livia (rock pigeon) is the source of this 4617-nucleotide long non-coding RNA. RefSeq lists it as uncharacterized. The transcript is spliced from 2 exons. The record is from RefSeq and is a predicted model, not a curated record. NCBI's taxonomy places the organism in Eukaryota, Metazoa, Chordata, Aves, Columbiformes, Columbidae.
AAGGGGCGUGUCCCCGUGUUUAACCCUUGAGAAGCCGGGGCCGCGGUUGCUGUGGGGAGGGGUUCCGUAGGCGGGGGGGGGGUCCCUUAAGCAGAAAGCAGGAGGCUUUUUUGCUGGUGCCAGCGCUGGUGCGAGGGGACGGGAACUCAUGGCUGGGAACAGGAGGAAGGUGGGAUGAUGUAAAUCGCUUUGCAUGGUGAAGCGUUGCACUGUAGCUGGUACCAGCCUCUCGUUUCUGCGGUGCUGACUCGAGCUGUGCGGAAAGAAAACACAUCCAGCUUCAAAAGAAACCACGACAGCCACACAGAGCAAGUCCUUCAAGUAAGGCCUUUGUAUCUCAAGAGAAAUAUCCAAGAAUAGCGGAUGUUUGAAAUGUUCUUGCUUAAAUUGUUCCACCUUGCUGUCCUUCAUCUGUAAGAUGAAGAUACUAAUAUUAAACUUGCCUCAGGAAUCUUGUGAAGAAGCAGCUCUAUUUGUGAAGCACCCAUUCCAGAAAGAGCAAGAGAAAAAUAACUAAAAUGUAUUUUUACUCAGCACUGGUUCUUAAUGGAAUGUAUUAAAUAAAGAUCAAGGCUAUACAAUUAAUAACAAGGAUUACAAAAACUUUAAUGUAACAAUUCAGUAAGCACCAUUCGUCUUGCAAGCGUUAUUCAUCUUCUGCACCGAAGAAGGCUGGGGGUCUUGGGGAAAAAAUUAAUUAGAUCUGCCAGCACUGGAACUAAACUUUUCUAUAGAUUUGCACCUGAAAUUGACUUAUUGUAAGCUCUGAUUCGAAGGUGACUUAUAGCUGUGGAAUUGAUGCACUGUGUGGUUUCUGUGACUGAGGGAUGAGAUCCAGGAUAGUCUGGGGAUGCACAAGUAUAUUGAAUUUAUCCAUUGUAACCUGGACAACUCAGUUUGCUGAUGUAGACUGACCUGGAAUAAUGCUGAUUAAGUUUUUUCUUGUUUGCUACUCCAGCACUAAUGAAGACUUCACAAUGCUAAACAUCGAUCUUGUGAGUUUUCCCAGGAACCUAAUGUUAUUCUGGCAUUCUUAUAACAGCAACAAGGUUCCUUUACUUUGCUGUAACUCUCUAUUAAGUCUUGAGAGUUUCUUCUUUUUAAUCUGAUUUUAAAUCCUCUCAAUCUAGCGAGUGCUACUUAAGCAGGACUGAGCUGGCUCCUUGUAAGACAAAAUGGUCCAGGACUUCAGCGUGGCAGAAACAUGGGACACAACAAUCGUACACUUGCUAUUUCCAGCAGGUUGAAACUGCCAUGUUUGCAGUUGUCACUUCGGUUAAUUAAUACACAUGCAAAGUGCCAAGAUAUUAAUCUCGGCAGUGGCAUCCAAUCAAGGUGAUCCCAGUGCAGAAUAGGAAAAGUAAAUUCAACUGCAGCAAUGCAGCAUAGUAUCUCUUUGGAAGGACUGACAGUGCCAAGUGCUAAUGAAUUUGUUUUAUCAGGAAGUAAAAGCCCUUUUCCUGACAUGGCUGACAUAGGACAAAAAGAUAAUUUUGCCUUAAACUAUUUAGAGUUCAAGGUUAAAGAUAACAGACAGGUAAAGAUUAUUGGACAGAAAUAUUAGAACCAGUUACUAGGCAACUGAUGCUGUUUUAGUGACUCUGCAGUCUGACCAUCAUAAAAUUCUUCAGACAAAUGAAUUUUAAGAAAGGCUCUGAAGAGCUCAGUGAAGUAGAUCAGUAAGUUGUUGCAGGUUUCUCUUACCUAAGCAAGAAGCAGCACGAAAACAAGACAAACCUUGCAUGAAAAUUCAAGUGAAGCAUUAAUGGAAGCAUAAUGCGGUCUCUUUUCACACUCCAUUGAUUUCAGCUCUGACUUGAACUCCGUUAAACUUUAAAGUCAGUGUAAGUUACAAAGUGACUUGCUCUGAAAGACUUAACACUCUUCCAAAACAACUUUCAAGUGCAGGAAAACCCUCAAUUGAAAAGGGCAACUCAGUUUUGGCAAAAUGCUUCAAAACUAGAUCCAGCCCCCUGAAUGCAACAAUGUUAAGCCACUAAUUGGAGGUACAGCACAGUGUUUUCAGUUGGAGCAGCUGGGAGAAGAGUUUGUCUUUGCUUCUGUUGUAGAAAAGUCCAGCAGAACGUCAGGCAGAGGAGGGCAGCAAUGUCUCAGACUAUCAGCAUCACAUCUGGUGAGCAAGAGUCACAGUCACGGGAAAAUUCUGUGUUUCAUCAACACAGACCUUCUGUGUAGACUUCAAACCAAAGCCAUCUGUUUCCCCUGUAAAUGAAUCUCUGGUCCUAUCAAUUAUGUUAUUAAUCACUACUCUCAUAUACUGCUUUGCCUGUCUUAUUUCCACUAUAGUAUGCCUGCAUCCUUUCAGAAAUCUUUCAAUCUGGAAAAUUUUCAGUUUCACAGCAAUUUACAAAAUGUCCUGAAAGAUCUGAGAUUAUGUACUUCAAAGUUGUUUCUUACAUCAUUCAGCCUUUAAAAGCAACACAUAAUUCCAGAGAACCUCACAAAAUUCAGGUGAGAGGCACACCAUGAGGUGCACUACUUAAGAGUAGUACUGGUCCCUGGAUUCCAGUCUCCUCAGUUGCUGGCAUCUCAACAUAUGAUCCCCCCAAGGCCCCUCUACUUUCCACACUUGUUCCUCCCUUUCCCCUCUUUUGAUUCCUCGCCUAAACAUUCCAUAAGUCCUGUGCGAUGCUAAAAUGCCAUUCCCCUGCAUCCCAUGAAGAGCAGCACAUCCCCAAGGCAGUAGCACCUGUCGUCCUGGAGGGCUGCUCCAAGACUCACCUUGAGGAGUUUCACUCCUGGACCCUGGGGCUGAUGGCUCUGCUGGAAGAGCCCUGGGAAAGGCCCAGAGAGGGUGUUUGCUCCUCUGGAGUCUGUAAUUUGGGUUGUCACCCUGCCAGGUUAGGGGUGGACCUGCUGGGAAGCAGCAUUGCAGAGAAGGACCAGGGGUUGACCGUGAGCCAGCAAUGUGCCCAGGUGGCCAAGGCAGUCAAUGAUACCUGGGGUGCAUUAGGAAAAGUGUGACCAGCAGGUCGAGGGAGGCUCUCUUCCCCUCUACUCUGCCCUGGUGAGACCGCAUCUGGAGUUCUGUAUCCAGUUCUGGGCUCCCCAAUUUAAGAAUGACAAGGAAUUGGAGCGAGUCCAGUGGUGGUCUACAAAGAUGCUGAGGGGUCUGGAGCAUCUUUCUUAUGAGGAGAGACUGAGAGAGCUAGAUCUGUUCAGCCUGGAGAAGAGAAGCUGAGAGAGGAUCUCAUCAAUGUUUAUAAAUAUCUCAAGAUGGGUGUCACAAGGAUGGACCAGACUCCUUUCAGUGAUGCCCAAUGACAGGAUGAGGGGCAAUGGGCACAGACGGAAGCAAAAGAGAUUCCAUCUAAACAUGAGGAGGAACUUCUUUCCUUGGAGGUGCCAGAGCCCUGGAACAGGCUGCCCAGAGAGGUUGUGGAGUCUCCUUCUCUGGAGACAUUCAAACCCACCUGGACACAUUCCUGUGUGAUCUGCUCUGGUGAACCUGCUUUAGCAGGUGGGUUGGACUGGAUGAUCUCCAGAGGUCCCUUUCUGCCCCAGCCAUGCUGUGAUUCUGUUCAUUGUGCCCUUGCGCUCUUCUGGGCUCAUGGAGAUGGGUCCCUGAUGGGCUGGUGGCCCCAGUGAUGAGUAGCUGGGCAGGGUAUUGCUUGGUCUUCCUCGCAAUUGUCUCUCUGUGGGCAUGUACACAAGCUUUUACCACAUAACCUAACAAUAUGUACCAAAUGACAUGUUUCUAGCACCUAAAACUGAGAGCUUUGGGAAAAAAAAUUCAUUUACAGCAAAUGCAGUAGGGGUACCAGCCUAUUGGUAUGAGACUGGCUUCUUGGCUUGUGUAAAAACAUGAGUGUGGAGAAACAAAUGCAUCUGAAAUGAACUUGCAACUCUGGUUUACCAAGAUAUUAUUUACUAAUUACAACAUAAGUGUUGCAAAUUGCAACAAAUAGCCUUGCUUAGCCCCACUACUGUGUUAUUGUCAGCACUUGAAACUCAUGAAAUUCAUUGAAUAUUUCUGCCUUCCUGCCUGCACUGCAGUUAAGUUUUGCAACUAAAGCUCGUGUGUCUGCUCAGCAGUUGGCAAAAUUUGAUUUGCCAUAAUUCAAUCUGCAUGAGUCAGCGCCACCUUCCUUCACCACACAUUCUGGCCUGUCUGGAAAUCUGCUUUCUUUAUGGUUACACAGAUGUUCAAUAGACCUCAGAAUCAUUUCAGUGUGGUAGGCAAAGAAGCCUUUGCCACUCUUUGAACAAAUACAGUCCAGCUUUCCAUCCCCUACAAAACAGUAUCUGUGCUUGGCAGGGAACAAAGUUGGGACAUGGAUAUUGUAUUUUAUUGUAUUUUAUUGUAUUGUAUUUUAUUAAGUAACAGAAAAUCCCGCAAAUUAAUACAGUAGUACGUACUAUUUGUUGUUUUAAAAACUGUUUGGGUUUCUGGUUCAGAAUCCAAAACAGCAUCUCCAGAAGUGUCUUUUUGAUGCAGCGUGUGCUUUGUGCCUUCUAUACCUUUUGAUGAGUUAUUACAUCAGCAAUAACCACUCCUGUUGUGUGAGGUGUGGAAAGUAAAUAUUAAUUUGUCCUUUUGUUUAUCCCAUUGUGUUUUGUGCCUUCACAUUUAAAUAAAGACCUAGGCUAAAGACA